GUGUUUGCUUCGGCAACACACGUGCUAAAAUUGGAACGAUACAGAGAAGAUUAGCAUGGCCCCAUGCGCAAGGAUGACACGCAAAUUCAUGAAGCAUUCCAUAUUUUU
Small nuclear RNA from Echinops telfairi (small Madagascar hedgehog), 108 nucleotides. Lineage: Eukaryota; Metazoa; Chordata; Mammalia; Afrosoricida; Tenrecidae. The record is from RefSeq and is a predicted model, not a curated record.